UACGAAGGGGGCGAGCGUUGUUCGGAUUUACUGGGCGUAAAGGGCGCGCAGGCGGCUUAUUUUGUCAGGCGUGAAAGCCCCGGGCUUAACCUGGGAACUGCGUUUGAUACGGAUGGGCUAGAGUUCGGGAGAGGAGCGUGGAAUUCCCAGUGUAGAGGUGAAAUUCGUAGAUAUUGGGAAGAACACCGGUGGCGAAGGCGGCGCUCUGGACCGAGACUGACGCUGAGGCGCGAAAGCGUGGGGAGCAAACAGG
RNAcentral lists this ribosomal RNA (253 nucleotides) under uncultured bacterium. RNAcentral's name for it is "partial 16S ribosomal RNA". It matches the Rfam family "Bacterial small subunit ribosomal RNA", at positions 524 to 776 of the family's 1533-position model. The record is from RNAcentral.